AAGGUCCCAAAGUGCGUGUUAAGUGGAAAAGGAUGUGGGGAUUCUAAGACAACUAGGACGUUGGCUUAGAAGCAGCCAUUCAUUGAAAGAGUGCGUAAUAGCUCACUAGUCGAGAGUCCCUGCGCCGAAAAUGUCCGGGGCUGAAACACGACACCGAAGCUUAGGAAUGUGUAAACAUUGGUAGAGGAGCAUUGCUGGCGGGAUGAAGCCAUACCGUAAGGAGUGGUGGACUGCUAAGAAGAGAGAAUGCCGGAAUGAGUAGCGAGAGCAAGGUGAGAAUCCUUACGGCCGAAUAUCUAAGGUUUCCAGAGUAAAGCUGAUCUGCUCUGGGUAAGUCGGGGCCUAAGGCGAGGACGAAAGUCGUAGUCGAUGGAUAACAGGUUGAAAUUCCUGUACUGCUUAUGAACAGAACUGUGGGGACGCAGAAGGAGAGCACGAGCCGGAAAUGGAAAAGCCGGUACAAGCGUAUAGCAGUCAUGCAGGCAAAACCGCAUGAAAAAUGUAAAGCGUUAUGUGGAUCGAACAUUAGUAGAGAAGCGUGUGAGCCAGCUGCCAAGAAAAGCCGCUAUUGCUUCAUAAGUACCCGUACCGUAAACCGACACAGGUGGAUGAGGAGAGAAUCCUAAGGCCGACGGGAGAAGCAUUGUUAAGGAACUCGGCAAAAUGACCCCGUAACUUCGGGAGAAGGGGUGCCUGCGAGAGCAGGCCGCAGAGAAUAGGCUCAAGCAACUGUUUAGCAAAAACACAGGUCUAUGCGAAACCGAAAGGUGAGGUAUAUGGGCUGACGCCUGCCCGGUGCUGGAAGGUUAAGGGGAGAGGUUAGCGCAAGCGAAGCUUUGAACUUAAGCCCCAGUAAACGGCGGCCGUAACUAUAACGGUCCUAAGGUAGCGAAAUUCCUUGUCGGGUAAGUUCCGACCCGCACGAAAGGCGUAAUGAUUUGAGCACUGUCUCGACAAUGCAUCCGGUGAAAUUGAAGUACCAGUGAAGAUGCUGGUUACCUGCGCCAGGACGGAAAGACCCCAUGGAGCUUUACUCCAGUUUGAUACUGGGAUUCGGUACUGCAUGUACAGGAUAGGUGGGAGACGAAGAAGGAUGGACGCCAGUCUGUCCGGAGUCGCUGUUGGGAUACCACCCCUGUAGUACUGGGUUUCUAACCAGUUACCAUGAUCUGGUAAUGGGACAAUGUCAGGCGGGGAGUUUGACUGGGGCGGUCGCCUCCGAAAGGGUAUCGGAGGCGCUCAAAGGUUCCCUCAGAAUGGUUGGAAACCAUUCGAAGAGUGCAAAGGCAGAAGGGAGCUUGACUGCGACACCGACGGGUGGAGCAGGUACGAAAGUAGGACUUAGUGAUCCGGUGGUAUAAAGUGGGAUUGCCAUCGCUCAACGGAUAAAAGCUACCCUGGGGAUAACAGGCUUAUCACUCCCAAGAGUUCACAUCGACGGAGUGGUUUGGCACCUCGAUGUCGGCUCAUCGCAUCCUGGGGCUGUAGUAGGUCCCAAGGGUUGGGCUGUUCGCCCAUUAAAGCGGUACGCGAGCUGGGUUCAGAACGUCGUGAGACAGUUCGGUCCCUAUCUGUCGUGGGCGCAGGAUAUUUGAAAGGCGCUGUCCCUAGUACGAGAGGACCGGGAUGGACGAACCUCUGGUGCACCAGUUGUCACGCCAGUGGCACAGCUGGGCAGCUAUGUUCGGAUCGGAUAAACGCUGAAAGCAUCUAAGCGUGAAGCCGGCCUUAAGAUAAGAUAUCCCACUGAGACAAUCAGGUAAGACCCCUUGAAGACUACAAGGUUGAUAGGCACAAUGUGUAAGUGGCGUGAGUCAUUGAGCAAGCGUGUACUAAUAGGUCGAGGGCUUGACCC
RNAcentral lists this ribosomal RNA (1855 nucleotides) under human gut metagenome. Its description in RNAcentral is "bacterial LSU rRNA". It matches the Rfam family "Bacterial large subunit ribosomal RNA", at positions 1041 to 2925 of the family's 2925-position model. The record is from RNAcentral.